Molecule: transfer RNA, 76 nt
Filed under: Lupinus albus (white lupine)
Lineage: Eukaryota; Viridiplantae; Streptophyta; Magnoliopsida; Fabales; Fabaceae
Also listed under: 4 other names
Description: tdbR00000563
Rfam family: tRNA
About the family: Transfer RNA (tRNA) molecules are approximately 80 nucleotides in length. Their secondary structure includes four short double-helical elements and three loops (D, anti-codon, and T loops).
Source: RNAcentral
CCGACCUUAGCUCAGUUGGUAGAGCGGAGGACUGUAGAUCCUUAGGUCACUGGUUCGAAUCCGGUAGGUCGGACCA